Molecule: ribosomal RNA, 505 nt
Filed under: uncultured bacterium
Lineage: Bacteria
Description: partial 16S ribosomal RNA
Rfam family: Bacterial small subunit ribosomal RNA
Source: RNAcentral
AUUGAACGCUGGCGGUAUGCUUAACACAUGCAAGUCGAACGGCAGCAUGGUCUAGCUUGCUAGACUGAUGGCGAGUGGCGGACGGGUGAGUAACGCGUAGGAAUAUGCCUUGAAGAGUGGGACAACUUGGGAAACUCAAGCUAAUACCGCAUGUACUCGAGAGAGUAAAGCUGGGGACCUUUAGGCCUGGCGCUUUAAGAUUAGCCUGCGUCCGAUUAGCUAGUUGGUAGGGUAAAGGCCUACCAAGGCGACGAUCGGUAGCUGGUCUGAGAGGAUGAUCAGCCACACUGGAACUGAGAGACGGUCCAGGCUCCUACGGGAGGCAGCAGUGGGGAAUAUUGGACAAUGGGGGGAACCCUGAUCCAGCAAUGCCGCGUGUGUGAAGAAGGCCUGAGGGUUGUAAAGCACUUUCAGUGGGGAGGAGGUUUGGAAGGUUAAGAGCUAUUCAAAUGGACGUUACCCACAGAAGAAGCACCGGCUAACUCCGUGCCAGCAGCCGCCGUAA